Molecule: ribosomal RNA, 253 nt
Filed under: uncultured bacterium
Lineage: Bacteria
Description: partial 16S ribosomal RNA
Rfam family: Bacterial small subunit ribosomal RNA
Source: RNAcentral
CACGUAGGGCGCGAGCGUUGUCCGGAAUUAUUGGGCGUAAAGAGCUCGUAGGCGGUUUGUCGCGUCUGCUGUGAAAGCCCGGGGCUCAACCCCGGGUCUGCAGUGGGUACGGGCAGACUAGAGUGCAGUAGGGGAGACUGGAAUUCCUGGUGUAGCGGUGAAAUGCGCAGAUAUCAGGAGGAACACCGAUGGCGAAGGCAGGUCUCUGGGCUGUAACUGACGCUGAGGAGCGAAAGCAUGGGGAGCGAACAGG